This 357-nucleotide long non-coding RNA is filed under the name Dromaius novaehollandiae (emu). RNAcentral describes it as "lncRNA (ENSDNVG00000004523.1)". Lineage: Eukaryota; Metazoa; Chordata; Aves; Casuariiformes; Dromaiidae. The record is from RNAcentral.
AAGGGGUCGUAAUUCCAACUAAAUACACAGGAGCAAAAUAAACAACGCAUGCCUAAAAUACUCAGUUCCAGUGUAAACAGUACAAAUGGGCAGGAUAUGUGUCUCUGAAGAACAAACGUGCAAGAACCAGGCCAGACCUCCCGUGUUUUAAUCUGAACCCCGGAGCAGAAGGGCUACGUGGCGAGAGGAACCUGCAGAGGCAUUGCAGUCUAUUACCACUGAGUUUCUAUUUAGUCCUUUGGAUCAGAAGAAUUUAAACAGGUCCACCACCAACUGACAGAAGAAGCUAAGAUGCUGGAAUAAGAAGCAGUGGCUCCAUGUGUGAAACAAGCUUUGCAUUGCUGAGUUUAUAAGAAC